This 1459-nucleotide ribosomal RNA is filed under the name metagenome. RNAcentral's name for it is "bacterial SSU rRNA". It matches the Rfam family "Bacterial small subunit ribosomal RNA". The record is from RNAcentral.
AUACAUGCAAGUCGAACGAGAAAAUUCCGCUUCGGUGGAAUGAGUAGAGUGGCAAACGGGUGAGUAACACGUGGGCAACCUGCUCUCAAAUUGGGGAUAACCUCGCCAACGCGGGGCUAAUACCGAAUGUUGUCCUAAUAUCGCAUGGUAUAAGGAUGAAAGCUUUUUUUUAAUAAGAAGGCGUUUGAGAAGGGGCCCGCGUCCUAUUAGCUUGUUGGUGAGGUAAUGGCUCACCAAGGCUGCGAUAGGUAGCCGGCCUGAGAGGGUGAUCGGCCACACUGGGACUGAGAUACGGCCCAGACUCCUACGGGAGGCAGCAGUAGGGAAUAUUGCGCAAUGGACGAAAGUCUGACGCAGCAACGCCGCGUGGGUGAUGAAGUUUUUCGGAACGUAAAACCCUGUCAGGAGGGAAGAAACUCUCGAUUUUUUCGGGACUGACGGUACCUCCAGAGGAAGCUCCGGCCAACUCCGUGCCAGCAGCCGCGGUAACACGGGGGGAGCAAGCGUUGUUCGGAUUUACUGGGCGUAAAGGGCGUGUAGGCGGAUGGGUCAGUCAGAUGUGAAAUUCCAGGGCUCAACUCUGGACCUGCAUUUGAUACUUCUCAUCUAGAGUAUGGGAGAGGAGAUCGGAAUUCCUGGUGUAGCGGUGAAAUGCGUAUAUCAGGAAGAACACCGGUGGCGAAGGCGGAUCUCUGGCCUAAUACUGACGCUGAUGCGCGAAAGCUGGGGGAGCAAACAGGAUUAGAUACCCUGGUAGUCCCAGCCGUAAACGAUGGGCACUAGGUGUUGGGGGUAUUGAUCCCCUCAGUGCCGGAGUUAACGCAUUAAGUGCCCCGCCUGGGGAGUACGCUCGCAAGGGUGAAACUCAAAGGAAUUGACGGGGGCCCGCACAAGCGGUGGAGCAUGUGGUUUAAUUCGAUGCAACGCGAAGAACCUUACCGGGGUUUGACAUGCCCGUCAUACCUUGAUGAAAGUCAAGGGUCAGUUCGGCUGGACGGUGCACAGGUGCUGCAUGGCUGUCGUCAGCUCGUGUCGUGAGAUGUUGGGUUAAGUCCCGCAACGAGCGCAACCCUUACCCUUAGUUGCCAGCACGUAAUGGUGGGAACUCUAAGGGGACUGCCUCGGAUAACGGGGAGGAAGGUGGGGAUGACGUCAAGUCCUCAUGGCCCUUAUGCUCCGGGCUACACACGUGCUACAAUGGUCGGUACAGAGGGCUGCGAAACCGCGAGGUGGAGCUAAUCCCAGAAAGCCGAUCUCAGUUCGGAUUGGAGUCUGCAACUCGACUCCAUGAAGUCGGAAUCGCUAGUAAUCGCGAAUCAGCAGGUCGCGGUGAAUACGUUCCCGGGCCUUGUACACACCGCCCGUCAAGCGAUGGAAGCUGGUGGUACCCGAAGUCAGUAGCCUAACUUUUCGAAGAGGGAGCUGCCGAAGGUAAAACUGGUGACUGGCGCUAAGUCGA